GGCGGUACCAUAGCCAAUGAGGGUUAUCCGAGGUGUGGUUAUUGCUAGUUGAAAAUUAUUAUUAUUAUCAUUGUUAUUAUUAUUAUGAUUAUUAUUAUUAUUAUUGUUAUUGUUGUUAAGGCUGGCAGAGUCGUUAGCACGCCGGGCGAAAUGCGUAGCC
Long non-coding RNA from Octopus sinensis (East Asian common octopus), 160 nucleotides. RefSeq lists it as uncharacterized. Lineage: Eukaryota; Metazoa; Mollusca; Cephalopoda; Octopoda; Octopodidae. The record is from RefSeq and is a predicted model, not a curated record. The transcript is spliced from 3 exons.